CAUNAAGCACUCCGCCUGGGGAGUACGACCGCAAGGUUGAAACUCAAAGGAAUUGACGGGGNCCCGCACAAGCGGUGGAGCAUGUGGUUUAAUUCGAAGCAACGCGAAGAACCUUACCAGGUCUUGACAUACUCGUGCUAUUCCUAGAGAUAGGAAGUUCCUUCGGGACACGGGAUACAGGUGGUGCAUGGUUGUCGUCAGCUCGUGUCGUGAGAUGUUGGGUUAAGUCCCGCAACGAGCGCAACCCUUAUUGUUAGUUGCCAUCAUUAAGUUGGGCACUCUAGCGAGACUGCCGGUAAUAAACCGGAGGAAGGUGGGGAUGACGUCAAAUCAUCAUGCCCCUUAUGACCUGGGCUACACACGUGCUACAAUGGUUGGUACAACGAGUCGCAAGACAGUGAUGUCAAGCUAAUCUCUUAAAGCCAAUCUCAGUUCGGAUUGUAGGCUGCAACUCGCCUACAUGAAGUCGGAAUCGCUAGUAAUCGCGGAUCAGCACGCCGCGGUGAAUACGUUCCCGGGCCUUGUACACACCGCCCGUCACACCACGAGAGUUUGUAAUACCCGAAGCCGGUGAGCUAACCUUUUAGGAGGCAGCCGUCUAAGGUAGGAUAGAUGAUUGGGGUGAAGUCGUAACAAGGUAGCCGUAUCGGAAGGUGCGGCUGGAUCACCUCCUUAUCU
RNAcentral lists this ribosomal RNA (678 nucleotides) under uncultured Lactococcus sp. Its description in RNAcentral is "bacterial SSU rRNA". It matches the Rfam family "Bacterial small subunit ribosomal RNA", at positions 858 to 1533 of the family's 1533-position model. Lineage: Bacteria; Bacillati; Bacillota; Bacilli; Lactobacillales; Streptococcaceae. The record is from RNAcentral.